This 418-nucleotide ribosomal RNA is filed under the name uncultured bacterium. RNAcentral's name for it is "bacterial SSU rRNA". It matches the Rfam family "Bacterial small subunit ribosomal RNA", at positions 355 to 787 of the family's 1533-position model. The record is from RNAcentral.
UGGGGAAUAUUGGGCAAUGGGCGCAAGCCUGACCCAGCAACGCCGCGUGAAGGAUGAAGGUUUUCGGAUUGUAAACUUCUGUCGCGAGGGACGAAGAAUGACGGUACCUCGUAAGAAAGCCCCGGCUAACUACGUGCCAGCAGCCGCGGUAAUACGUAGGGGGCGAGCGUUGUCCGGAAUGACUGGGCGUAAAGGGAGUGUAGGCGGCUUUAUAAGUUAGAUGUGAAAACCCGCGGCUUAACCGCGGAACUGCAUCUAAAACUGUAGAGCUGGAGUGCAGGAGAGGUGAGUGGAAUUCCUAGUGUAGCGGUGGGAAAUGCGUAGAUAUUAGGAGGAACACCGGAGGCGAAGGCGACUCACUGGACUGUAACUGACGCUGAGGCUCGAAAGCGUGGGGAGCAAACAGGAUUAGAUACCC